GCACCGGCUAACUACGUGCCAGCAGCCGCGGUAAUACGUAGGGUGCAAGCGUUAAUCGGAAUUACUGGGCGUAAAGCGUGCGCAGGCGGUUGUGCAAGACAGAUGUGAAAUCCCCGGGCUUAACCUGGGAAUUGCAUUUGUGACUGCACGGCUAGAGUGUGUCAGAGGGGGGUAGAAUUCCACGUGUAGCAGUGAAAUGCGUAGAUAUGUGGAGGAAUACCGAUGGCGAAGGCAGCCCCCUGGGAUAACACUGACGCUCAUGCACGAAAGCGUGGGGAGCAAACAGGAUUAGAUACCCUGGUAGUCCACGCCCUAAACGAUGUCUACUAGUUGUCGGGUCUUAAUUGACUUGGUAACGCAGCUAACGCGUGAAGUAGACCGCCUGGGGAGUACGGUCGCA
RNAcentral lists this ribosomal RNA (400 nucleotides) under uncultured bacterium. Its description in RNAcentral is "bacterial SSU rRNA". It matches the Rfam family "Bacterial small subunit ribosomal RNA", at positions 490 to 890 of the family's 1533-position model. The record is from RNAcentral.